RNAcentral lists this transfer RNA (67 nucleotides) under Cajanus cajan (pigeon pea). It matches the Rfam family "tRNA". From Rfam's summary of the family: Transfer RNA (tRNA) molecules are approximately 80 nucleotides in length. Lineage: Eukaryota; Viridiplantae; Streptophyta; Magnoliopsida; Fabales; Fabaceae. The record is from Rfam by way of RNAcentral.
GCCGUUUUAGCUCAGCUGGUAGAGCGCAUGGCUUUUAACCAUGUGGGUUCGAUUCCCACAGCCGGGC